CUUCAUUGUGGAUCAGCUCACCUCCACGGUUCGGACUCUAUACCGUCUCUUUUUAUUCUCGCGCCGCUCAUCCCGUGUACUUACGUUACGUCCUUUCCCAUCCCCAUCCAGCGCAAUCAUGCAGGGAACGUGGAGUGUCCUCAAGAAGAAUUGCCUGAACUUCGUCCCUGGGCUGGCACUGUUCGCCAGCCAGUCUCGCGAUGCUUUCGCGACGUGGCUGAAGAUCUACAAUCGUGGGUACAAGCACGGCCCGCAGGAAUUCUAUGAGCAGGCUGAGGUGUACACCCCGGACUACUGGAAGCGCGGCCACUCUCAGGACAAGAAUAUGUGGGUGGACAUGAAUCUUAGCGAGGAGGUGUCGCAGAAGGAGCUUGCGCAGCUGAUGCAUUACAAGCACGACCUCUGGCGCAUGGGCCACGGCCUUGGCCUCGGCCUGUUCCUCGGCGGCUACGCACUCAUCCCGGCCUUCUUUUGGCUAUCGAGCGACACCUUUGCCCCGUCAUGCUUCUGCAAGACCGAGGAGGAGAAGAAAGCCUGGCGUGAGGCGCAGGACAUGUACCGCUACCGCAGCGCCCCGUCCUACAUCAUGGACACUAAGUGGUACUUCGACUUCCACGCGUACCCGUGGAACGCGACGCAGGAGCGCGCCUGGGACGACCUGUUUGAGAAGAACAACGUGCGCCGCGACCCGAAGUUGCUGCGCCCGGCCGCUGAGAUGUACGACGGAUUUCUGAAGUUCUACCAGAUACGCCGCAAGUCGCUCCGCCACCUCGCGCGCAGCAUGAACCUCCCCACCUUCCCGCUUCUGAGUCGCACGUGCGCCAGCACCCGCGUAAGGGACUACUGGAACCUGGCGUGGAACGAGGACUACAUGGUGAUAACGCAGAAGCUGCACCACCAGAUGUCGGACGAGGACCUGCAUGACUACGCGUGGCGUCGCUUCCUAGCCCCGUACGACAAGAACCUUUCGCGCGACGAGAUCAUGACGCGCGUCAACGACUACCACGAGUUCCUUGGCCCCAAGUUUGUGGAGGAAGGCAAGGCCCCGAACCUGAUCAUCCUGACCAACUACGUGCUCGGCUACUACAACGACCCGGCGUACCUCGUGGAGGAUAUUUCCGCGUUGGAUGGCAACGACUUCGAGUACAUGGCGCAUUACGGCAAGGAUGCCUUCCUGCGCCGUCUCGAGUUCGAGAACGGCCCGCUGCGUGACCAGGUUGAGGCCCACACGCAGAAGCUGAUCGCCGAUCGCGCGGCUGCCGCGGCGGCGGAGGCGACGGCCAAAGCACCGCAGGUGACGGCGUAGGCGAGCCGGGGAAGACGAAGCGAGCAGGCAAAAGGAUUGACGUUUAUGCGCGUGUGUAGCCGGCGCCCGCGGCAGCGACAGAAGGGGGUGCCAACGAGGGCUGCGAGGGCUGCAGAACGCUGGGUAGGCUACCGUGACAGAGCCAAGUGAGGAGGUUGGCGGGGGGGGGCAGAGAUGCUGCCGUUGACCUAUUACGCCAUCCUGCGUGUGCGUCUCCCCUCUUCGUGCCUCCCGCCCCACCUCUCCCGUAGCGCAUACCUCUCCCUUUCCCCCAAUGCAGAAAAGAUGUUUGCCUUGUCGCUGACGGUAGCCGCCAGCACUGGCCACUCCGCCCCUCCCCCCUCUCUCUUGCUUUGCGCUCUCAGCGCUGCGUGAGGGAGAGAGAGCUUGUGCGUGUGCGUGUGCGUGUGCGUGCUCAAUUUCCCGGCUUCGGUGGCUCCUCAUCUCUCCUUGUCUUGCAUUCGGCUCCGCAGCCGUUCUGUUGCCUCUGUCUUCCCUGUUUGUACUUGAUUAUAUCUAGGAAGUAGGCUUUAACAACGAGAAAGACGGCAUCCAGUUCUUACAUGUAGUGUGUGCGUGUGGACGUGCCCUCCCCUCCACGUCGAUGCGCACGCACCUUCUCGCGUGUCGCUCUUCGCUCCGUCUCCCGCCUUUUUCUUUCGCGGUUUAGUGUUUCCCUGUUAUUCUCGUUUGUAUCGCCGGAAGCGAUGCCCACGGCACCCACCCACGCACGGGCAGCAAUGAUAGCGCAGCGUAGGGGAUGGGGAGGCGGCCUUUUCAUGGGAGGGGGAGACGGGGGUAGCGGCAUCGCGUGGCUGCAUUUUCCGUCUUUCGGCCUCUGACCUGCCCUGUCGCCGUUGUCUUUUCAUCCCCGUUGCCGUGAGAGUGCCUUUGUGUUUGUGUGUGUGUUUAUCCGUGUGCCAUGUGCGUGCGAUCGGUGUGGGCGUGUGCGUGAUGUUGUGGGAAGGCUGAACCUCUCUCUUGUAGUGUAGCACAGACUAU
Molecule: unclassified non-coding RNA, 2308 nt
Filed under: Leishmania donovani
Lineage: Eukaryota; Euglenozoa; Kinetoplastea; Trypanosomatida; Trypanosomatidae
Description: gene:LdHU3.21.2160(CDS-product:hypothetical_prote in_conserved)
Source: RNAcentral